RNAcentral lists this ribosomal RNA (35 nucleotides) under Palaquium formosanum. RNAcentral's name for it is "partial 26S ribosomal RNA". Lineage: Eukaryota; Viridiplantae; Streptophyta; Magnoliopsida; Ericales; Sapotaceae. The record is from RNAcentral.
CUUGAYUGCGACCCCAGGUCAGGCGGGAUUACCCG